RNAcentral lists this ribosomal RNA (1452 nucleotides) under Triticum aestivum (bread wheat). RNAcentral describes it as "partial small subunit ribosomal RNA". Lineage: Eukaryota; Viridiplantae; Streptophyta; Magnoliopsida; Poales; Poaceae. The record is from RNAcentral.
AUGGCGUUUUUGCUCGGCAACGGCGGCGUGGUCGUCUUCCGUCGGCUCCCACGACGAUGCUGUGAGCAGGGAGAGGUCUUUCCACCCGAGCUUGAGGCACCCGUCCUCCUCCACCAGCGUGUAGCCCUUCCACGGGUACAUGCCGAUCAGCAGCCUGGCCUGCGCGGCGGGGCUCCCGGCGAGGGACACGGGCCGGAACCCGGCGCGGCGCAGCUCGUCGCCCCACCGCUCCACCCGCACCUCGCCCGUCCGCUUCGGGCCCCCAACGGCCACGAUGUUCCGUAUCUCCGCGCCCAGGAGCUGCCGCUCCACCGCGUGCCGCUCCUCCUCCGCGGCGCCCGCGCCGUCGCGCAGCGCGUCGAACAGCGCCGAGUAGUAGUGCAGCGCCUCCACGAACCGGCCCAAGAAGUCGCCGCUGUGCCCCAGGUCCUGCUCCACGAUCGUGAUCAGCUUCGGCCGCAGGCUCUUGAGCAGCCGCACCGUGCCGACGUCCGAGCCCGUCACGUCGUAGAGGCAGUGGUGCAUCCAGUGCACGACGGUGGCCUCCCUGUGGCGGUGGCGCGGGCCGAGGAGCGCGGUGGUGUCUGCGACGUGCCCGAUCUUCCCAUCGAUAGGCUGGAACUCGAAGGGCAGCCCGAGCGACGCCGCGAAGUCGGCGAGGCGGCGGCCGGUGGCCUCGAGGACGUCGAGCGAGGCGCCGAGCCCGGUGACCCGGAGCGAGAGCGGCCUGCGGGGCCGGGACGCGAGCAUGUGGAACAGCCCCGGCCACUGCAGCCCCUGCAUGAUGUCGAGGUCGAUGACGUGGACGUGGUCCUCGCCGUCGAGCGCCUGCAGGAUGGCCUUGUUGGCGGUGAAGUGCGAGAACUUGACGAGCGGGGAGAGCGCGUUGUACGCCUGGAAGGCCGAGGAGAUGCGGCGGCUCUGCGCGGCCGCGAGCGGGCGGAGCGCGAGCGGCGAGUAGGCGCCCAGGUACGAGCUGAGCACGCGCGCGCACAGCGCGUCGCCGAAGUAGGCCGCGACGCGCUCCGGGGAGGACCCGAACGGGGACGCCAGCUCGGCGACCUCCUGCAGCAUGUCCUGCGCCUCCGGGAGCUGGUCCAUGGCCACCGCCUCCGCGCACCUGAGCAGCAGCCUCAGCAGCCGCAGCCCGCGCGUCUCCGGCGCCUCCGCCACCCGCUCCCCCUCCUCCCCCGCGGCGGCCACCGCCAGGCCCUGCUCGGAGGCGGAGCCAUGCAGCUGCAGCCGCUUCCCGCGCGCCUUCUCCUCGUCGUCGGGCAUCGACGCCGCCUGCUUGGCCUUCAUCGCGUCGGUGGCGGGCGCGCGCGACAGGACGCCCUGGAUCAUCACGACAGACAGAGGCCAAUAAUUUCAGGUGAGGCCGAGCGAGCUGGCGGGCGGGCGGGAAGAGUCGGUCAGUGGCAACUCACUGAUAAGCUCAGGGAUAACUCAUAA